RNAcentral lists this ribosomal RNA (253 nucleotides) under uncultured bacterium. RNAcentral describes it as "partial 16S ribosomal RNA". It matches the Rfam family "Bacterial small subunit ribosomal RNA", at positions 524 to 776 of the family's 1533-position model. The record is from RNAcentral.
UACGGAGGGUGCGAGCGUUGUCCGGAAUCACUGGGCGUAAAGGGCGCGCAGGCGGCUCUGCAAGUCAGAUGUGAAAGCCCCGGGCUUAACCUGGGAACUGCAUUUGGGACUGUGGGGCUAGAGAUCGGGAGAGGAGAGUGGAAUUCCCAGUGUAGAGGUGAAAUUCGUAGAUAUCAGGAGGAACACCGGUGGCGAAGGCGGGUCUCUGGGCCGAUACUGACGCUGAGGAGCGAAAGCGUGGGGAGCGAACAGG